RNAcentral lists this ribosomal RNA (468 nucleotides) under uncultured bacterium. RNAcentral's name for it is "partial 16S ribosomal RNA". It matches the Rfam family "Bacterial small subunit ribosomal RNA", at positions 28 to 507 of the family's 1533-position model. The record is from RNAcentral.
GACGAACGCUGGCGGCGUGCUUAACACAUGCAAGUCGAACGGACAGGCCCUGCUUUUGUGGGGUGCUCGAGUGGCGAACGGGUGAGUAACACGUGAGUAACCUGCCCUUGACUUUGGGAUAACUUCAGGAAACUGGGGCUAAUAUCGGAUAGGAGCUCCUGCUGCAUGGUGGGGGUUGGAAAGUUUCGGUGGUUGGGGAUGGAUUCGCGGCUUAUCAGCUUGUUUGUGGGGUAGUGGCAUACCAAGGCUUUGACGGGUAGCCGGCCUGAGAGGGUGACCGGCCACAUUGGGACUGAGGGACGGCCCAGACGCGUACGGGAGGCAGCAGUGGGAAAUAUUGCACAAUGGGCGGAAGCGUGAGGCAGCAACGCCGCGUGCGGGAUGACGGCCUUCGGGUUGUAAACCGCUUUCGCCUGAGACGAAGCGGGAGUGACGGUAAUGGGUAAAGAAGCAACGGCUAACUACGUG